RNAcentral lists this ribosomal RNA (432 nucleotides) under uncultured bacterium. RNAcentral describes it as "partial 16S ribosomal RNA". It matches the Rfam family "Bacterial small subunit ribosomal RNA", at positions 29 to 506 of the family's 1533-position model. The record is from RNAcentral.
AACGAACGCUGGCGGCAUGCCUAACACAUGCAAGUCGAACGAAGGCUUCGGCCUUAGUGGCGCACGGGUGCGUAACGCGUGGGAAUCUGCCCUUGGGUUCGGAAUAACAGCGGGAAACUGCUGCUAAUACCGGAUGAUGACGUAAGUCCAAAGAUUUAUCGCCCAAGGAUGAGCCCGCGUAGGAUUAGCUAGUUGGUGGGGUAAAGGCCCACCAAGGCGACGAUCCUUAGCUGGUCUGAGAGGAUGAUCAGCCACACUGGGACUGAGACACGGCCCAGACUCCUACGGGAGGCAGCAGUGGGGAAUAUUGGACAAUGGGCGAAAGCCUGAUCCAGCAAUGCCGCGUGAGUGAUGAAGGCCUUAGGGUUGUAAAGCUCUUUUACCCGGGAUGAUAAUGACAGUACCGGGAGAAGAAGCUCCGGCUAACUCCGU